GAUGAACGCUGGCGGCGUGCCUAAUACAUGCAAGUCGAGCGAACAGACGAGGAGCUUGCUCCUCUGACGUUAGCGGCGGACGGGUGAGUAACACGUGGAUAACCUACCUAUAAGACUGGGAUAACUUCGGGAAACCGGAGCUAAUACCGGAUAAUAUAUUGAACCGCAUGGUUCAAUAGUGAAAGACGGUUUUGCUGUCACGUAUAGAUGGAUCCGCGCCGCAUUAGCUAGUUGUUAAGGUAACGGCUUACCAAGGCAACGAUGCGUAGCCGACCUGAGAGGGGGAUCGGCCACACUGGAACUGAGACACGGUCCAGACUCCUACGGGAGGCAGCAGUAGGGAAUCUUCCGCAAUGGGCGAAAGCCUGACGGAGCAACGCCGCGUGAGUGAUGAAGGUCUUCGGAUCGUAAAACUCUGUUAUUAGGGAAGUACAAAUGUGUAAGUAACUAUGCACGUCUUGACGGUACCUAAUCAGAAAGCCACGGCUAACUACGUG
RNAcentral lists this ribosomal RNA (497 nucleotides) under uncultured bacterium. RNAcentral's name for it is "partial 16S ribosomal RNA". It matches the Rfam family "Bacterial small subunit ribosomal RNA", at positions 28 to 507 of the family's 1533-position model. The record is from RNAcentral.